CCUAUCUAUCCCCCUGGAACUCCAGGUAUCGGACAACAACUAUUCUAUGGUCAAGGCCCCCCUGCUAUCGUCCCUCCCCAGGUGAGAGCUGCUUAACUUGCGGGACAGUUGCUUGGACCUCCAUCCCAAAACCGCUUCUUUCUUAUGAGUUGAUUGUAUGUCACUAUGGUUGUAUUGAUUGUUCUGGCCAUUUUAUUGGCAUGACUGGACUUGGUUGAGGUUGAUGUAUAUAAUUUGAGUAGUGGAAUUGGUGAAAUUUAGGGUUUACAUAUGGGGUAGUAGCUUUUGCUAAGCAUAGAGAUCAUCUCUGUGGAUUUUAGCUUUGUGCUCUUUCCAUUAGUAUACCUUCCUUUAUGACUCAGAAGUUUGACCUCAAGACUUUUUACCCUUCCAAAAGCUUUUAGGCGUUGAUUCCUCUUACUUGAAUAAUGAUAGUAUUAAAUGUUAGAUUUACCUUUUCUUAUCAUUAGAACCAAUCAAUAUGAUAUAGUUGGCUUCCCUGUGUUCUCAUGCUUACUUUACUCUCAAUUGUUUACAGUUGAUUACUGACCCUGUUCUGUAAAUAUGACAGCCUGGGCUUGGGUAUCAGCAGCAACUGGUUCCUGGAAUGAGGCCAAAUUUUUUUGUUCCAAUGGUCCAACCAAGUCAGCAGGCUCAGCGCCCAGGUGGCCGGAGACCUGGAGCAGGGCCAGUGCAACCUCAGCAACCACUUCC
This 714-nucleotide long non-coding RNA is filed under the name Manihot esculenta (cassava). RNAcentral's name for it is "long non-coding RNA (MESC_LNC008136)". The record is from RNAcentral. Lineage: Eukaryota; Viridiplantae; Streptophyta; Magnoliopsida; Malpighiales; Euphorbiaceae.